CAUUAAGAAGCUAAUCUAGCGUUAACCUUUUAAGUUAAAGAUUGAGAGCCAAAGCUCCCCUUAAU
This 65-nucleotide transfer RNA is filed under the name Kogia breviceps (pygmy sperm whale). RNAcentral's name for it is "transfer RNA-Lys". The record is from RNAcentral. Lineage: Eukaryota; Metazoa; Chordata; Mammalia; Artiodactyla; Physeteridae.